This 464-nucleotide ribosomal RNA is filed under the name Vreelandella stevensii. RNAcentral describes it as "partial 16S ribosomal RNA". It matches the Rfam family "Bacterial small subunit ribosomal RNA", at positions 338 to 795 of the family's 1533-position model. The record is from RNAcentral. Lineage: Bacteria; Pseudomonadati; Pseudomonadota; Gammaproteobacteria; Oceanospirillales; Halomonadaceae.
CCUACGGGUGGCAGCAGUGGGGAAUAUUGGACAAUGGGGGCAACCCUGAUCCAGCCAUGCCGCGUGUGUGAAGAAGGCCCUCGGGUUGUAAAGCACUUUCAGUGAGGAAGAACGCCUGGUGGUUAAUACCCAUCAGGAAAGACAUCACUCACAGAAGAAGCACCGGCUAACUCCGUGCCAGCAGCCGCGGUAAUACGGAGGGUGCGAGCGUUAAUCGGAAUUACUGGGCGUAAAGCGCGCGUAGGUGGCUUGAUAAGCCGGUUGUGAAAGCCCCGGGCUCAACCUGGGAACGGCAUCCGGAACUGUCAAGCUAGAGUGCAGGAGAGGAAGGUAGAAUUCCCGGUGUAGCGGUGAAAUGCGUAGAGAUCGGGAGGAAUACCAGUGGCGAAGGCGGCCUUCUGGACUGACACUGACACUGAGGUGCGAAAGCGUGGGUAGCAAACAGGAUUAGAUCCCGAGUAGUC